Long non-coding RNA from Echinops telfairi (small Madagascar hedgehog), 404 nucleotides. RefSeq lists it as uncharacterized. NCBI's taxonomy places the organism in Eukaryota, Metazoa, Chordata, Mammalia, Afrosoricida, Tenrecidae. The transcript is spliced from 3 exons. The record is from RefSeq and is a predicted model, not a curated record.
CUGGAAACUCCACUGAAACUUCCCUCUGCGACAUCAGUGACAUAGCUCUCAGCAUCACAGCACAAGCCACCACAGCGCACCAAGCUGACACAACCACAUUUUGGAAGCACUGUGAAUGAGUCCGACUCCAAAGCCUUGCCUUUCAAGGAGGAAGACAACUCAUGGGGUCAAGACUCCUGUUCUCUAUAAAACCCAGAUGAAGAACAGUAUCGCAUGAAGCUCAGAGCCGCUCCCUGGAGAUCAUGAUGUGGCUACUGUUCUGAAGCCGACCACAGCUCUAGAUGGCCGCCAGGAAAACUCAUCCGGCUUGGAUGCCCGGUUUGGCCAAAAUAACAAAAUGGCCAUGGACCUACCCAGCUGUUUGUGUGAAGAAAAUGGAGUGGAAGUGGGAGAGGGAGCCAGGA